AUAUUACAUGCAUAACUUUAAAUUGGUUGAAAAUUAUCUGAAUGAUAAUUAUCCAGAGCGCAGUAUUAAGUAUUAUUAAUUAUUAAUUUUAGAGGUAAUAAAUUUAUUUAUAGAGGACAAAAUUCGUGCCAGCAGUUGCGUUAUACGAUUUUCUAAAUUUAACUAUGUUAGUUUCAGUUAAAAAGUGUGUUGAUAUUCAAUUUUUUUAAAUUUUGGUGGAAUAAAAUAUAAAUAUGUGUUUAAUUUUAUGUCUGAGAAACUUUUAUAUAAAAACUAGGAUUAGAUACCCUAUUAUUGAGAGUGUAAAUAAAAUAACUAGAUUAUUAAUAGUUAUGAUCUUUAAAUUCAAAGAAUUUGGCGGUAAUUUAUCUAAUCAGAGGAAUCUGUUUUGUAAUUGAUAAUCCACGAUAGAUUCUAUUUUAAAUAAAUUUGUAUACCUCUGUCAAGAAUGUUUUAUCAGAAUAAUUUUCAUUUGUUUUAUUAAUAAAAUGUCAGGUCAAGGUGCAGUUAAUUUUAAAGAAAAAAUGGAUUACAUUAUUGUAAAAAAUGAAUUGUUUUCUAUAAUGAAAAUCAUGAAACUGGAUUUGAAAGUAAAUUUCAUUAAAUAUGUGUU
RNAcentral lists this ribosomal RNA (613 nucleotides) under Magicicada tredecim (thirteen-year cicada). RNAcentral describes it as "partial 12S small subunit ribosomal RNA". The record is from RNAcentral. Lineage: Eukaryota; Metazoa; Arthropoda; Insecta; Hemiptera; Cicadidae.